GUGGAUUAGAUACCCUAGUAGUCCUAGCCCUAAACGAUCAGGACUUGGGGUGCCACCCGUUCGGGUGUCGUCCCGGAGCUAACGCGUUAAGUCCUGCACCUGGGGAGUACGGUCGCAAGACUGAAACUCAAAGGAAUUGACGGGGGCCCGCACAAGCGGUGGAACAUGUGGUUCAAUUCGACGCUACGCGAGGAACCUUACCUGGGCUCGAAAUGCUGGUGACCAGCUGUAGAAAUACGGCCUUCCCGCAAGGGACACCAGUAUAGGCGCUGCACGGUUGUCGUCAACU
Molecule: ribosomal RNA, 289 nt
Filed under: uncultured bacterium
Lineage: Bacteria
Description: partial 16S ribosomal RNA
Rfam family: Bacterial small subunit ribosomal RNA
Source: RNAcentral